Molecule: unclassified non-coding RNA, 2740 nt
Filed under: Limulus polyphemus (Atlantic horseshoe crab)
Lineage: Eukaryota; Metazoa; Arthropoda; Merostomata; Xiphosura; Limulidae
Description: sH3 domain-containing protein C23A1.17-like, transcript variant X17
Source: RNAcentral
ACAUAGUGGCGCUGCCAUAUCGACCAGAGGGCGUUACAUGACCCCAGAUGAAAAAUUAACUUCAGCUGGAGGAAGCGACAGACCGUUGUACCUCCACAUUCAGGCAUCAGAUCAAAAUGCUGUGAAUUUGGCUGUUAGAAGAAUUCAUGAGUUUAUUGCUAGAAAUACCAAAGGACUUUCUGGUAUUAGCACCAUCACCACAGUCCCAACAACUAUUUAACGGUUUGACUUCAACUGUCAGUAUGUCACAGAUGUCUUCAGGACAUCAUUUUGUUCAAGAGAAAGUGUAUGUUGGAUUAGAGCACGCUUCACUAUCUUCGAUUCGAGAAAAGAUUCUAGGACCGGAAGGAUCCUACCUUCAACACAUAAGAACUGAAACAGGUGCUAGUGUUACCUUAAGGGGCAAGGGUUCAGGAUUCAUGGAACCUACCUCUGGGAGAGAAGCCUUCGAACCUCUUCAUAUUCACAUCACUCAUCCAAAGCCAGAAGGUCUACAAGCUGCUAAAGCUUUAGCUUUAAAUUUAGUCCAGACGGUACACUCUGAACUGAGUCAGUGGACAUCACAUACUGCAGUACCUGUAAGACCAGUGAUCAGCUAUACAACACCUGAAAUAUCAUCACAGUCAUCAGGUGUUUACUUGACAUCUUCUAAUUCAGUGGUUCCAUUGAUUGCCCAAGCAGCAUCCACCAAUAAUAUUGCAGAUGGUUUCCCAGCAUAUGGUGCAUUUUCACAAGUUGUUACCCAUCCAUGGAGUGGAGAGUCUAUGGUGACUUAUGUGACAAAUGCUUCUUCCUGUUUUCCAACACAAGUGAUAACAGGUGGAAUUGGCAGCAUUAUACCGCCAACCCUGAAUACCUUGGCUCCCAGUGGUUCUGCAACAACGAGACUGGUGCCAGACUCCACUGUAAUUCUUCCUCCAACCGGCAUCAUGACUCCCUCAGAAGUCUCGGAGCUCUGUAUGACUGUUCCUUCAUCCAUUACCGUGACCAUGGGAUCGCUUGCCCCUUCCUCAAUUGAAGGAAUUGUUUCUUCUGUUGUUGCCCCCGUUUCUGUUACAAGCUUGGGACCUAUUUUUACAACUCCACUCUACAGACCUAUAACAAUGACAGUGCCUUUUGUAUCUGUACCUCCUCCGCUGAUUUCAGAGCCAUAUCCUUUAGUUCCUCAGUCAUCAAUAUCAGGAGGUGUUACUACCAUACCUCCUCCUCCAAUAUCUAGAACAAUAACCAUACCACAUUCAUCCGUGUCGGAGACAUUAGCCCAUAUGGCUGUUCCUUCAGUUUCAGUACCCGUUCUUCCUGUUCCCCCACCAUCAUUACCUAGAUCAAUUGCUCCUUUGUUAUCUGACGCAACUGCCCAUAUUCCCCCACCCUCAAUUUCGGGGACAAUGGUUUCUGCCCCUCCUCCAUCAAUAUCUGGAGCAGUUGCUCCUGUUCCACCACCACCUAUAUCAAAUAACAUUAUUCCCAUGGCUCCCUCAACAUUAUCUGGAACAGUUUUCCCAAUGGUUCCACACUCUAUACCGGGUACAAUGGACUUAUUGACCUCCUCUUCUCCCUCAGGAACUGUUGAGUUUAAUAACUCUGCAUCUGUGGCUGGCUCUGUGAACUCUAUACCCCACAUGACAAUUCCUGCUGCAUACAGUUCAGCAAUAAUGAGGCAGAUGUCAGUUGCAGGUGCACCUUUAGACACAAUACGUUCCUUUCCCCACCCUCCAGUUAGUUCUUCUGUUACUUUCAUGUCACCCACUUGUCCUCCCCCUCCUACUGGGACUCCUUUCCAAAGCGAAAUAGCUCAAGCAAGACUGUCAUCAUACAUGGAAUCUGGGAGAAGUGUUUACCCACCUAUUAGCAGACCUCGAAAACAUCAAAAACGAAGAUUUACAGAAGCACCUGUUCAAACAAAUGCACUUGAAGAUACAUCUGCUAACUCCGUGUCUUUAAGAUUACAGGAGUUUGUUCCCUCAACUCAGAAAAAUGAAACUGUUUCACCGCAAGAAGCUGUUCAAGAAAAAGAUCGGGAACUGAUGCCACCACCGCCUCCGAUACCAGGGAAAAAAGGCUGUCAAGGUGAAGCGUUUCACUUCCGAUUAGAGGACAAAACUCGUCAAAAGGGAGGACUUGAAGAACCAGAAAGGAAACGUUUGAAGGGUGCUCUGAAGGGUAUUGCCGGUAAGUCACUUUGUUUAUUUGACCUGUGAAACAAAUAGUUAGAAACUUCUAAAACUUGCUGUGAUUAAUAAUAGUGAGGGUUUUUAUUCUUCAUAAACACGACUUUCCUUUUAUAUUUUAUUGACAGUUAGUCGUACAAAGUAAUCUAUAAUAUAGAGAGAAUAUAUUCAAAAAAAAAAUUUUUUUUCUGUGGAUUAUUACAAAAAUUCUUUCAAAUUAUUUUCAUUUCUCACAAAAGCCCGAAGGCUCCUGUUUCAGAUGGGGUAAGAUUUAAAAUAUGAUAGUCAUGACGUGAGGACUAAACACCUCUUUUAUACUUUUGAGUUAUGCUGCUCUACAUUUGUUAAUCUAUUAUUAAUUUAGAAUAAAACAAAUAACUUCACAUCCUUUCUUAUAAUAAUAGGCUGUGAAAAUGAAUUUCCAUGAUCUCAUUCAUCUGACAGGGCAUUAUAACAGUGGCAAUAGUCUCUUUAAUAGUUUAUUGAUGAACAACAGUUUAUGGAUCUGAUGAAUCAGAUGAAGAUAACAGUCCUGCGGGUAGUCCUACUAACUGGCCACCUUCCCCAGA